Sinocyclocheilus rhinocerous is the source of this 253-nucleotide long non-coding RNA. RefSeq lists it as uncharacterized. The record is from RefSeq and is a predicted model, not a curated record. Lineage: Eukaryota; Metazoa; Chordata; Actinopteri; Cypriniformes; Cyprinidae. The transcript has 3 exons.
UUGACCAAUCAGCUCUUGCGCUCGGGUGACGUCGGCAUGACGUAUUUAUGAAAAAUGGCGGCUACGCGCAGCAGUGAGUUCGGCGACUUGGUUCAAAUUAAAAAGCAACUUAUUUCUAUUAUAGCGCAGUGUAAGGAAAGAGGACUCGUCCACAGUGUGAAAUGGGCAUCAGAACUGGCUUUUUCUUUGGAUGCGCUUCCUCUGAACGAGAUCCCUCCAGCGCCGGAGCUCACCGAGGAGGACGCCCGGGAUU